UAGGGAAUCUUCGGCAAUGGACGGAAAGUCUGACCGAGCAACGCCGCGUGAGUGAAGAAGGUUUUCGGAUCGUAAAACUCUGUUGGUAGAGAAGAACGUUGGUGAGAGUGGAAAGCUCAUCAAGUGACGGUAACUACCCAGAAAGGGCGGCUAACUACGUGCCAC
This 165-nucleotide ribosomal RNA is filed under the name uncultured bacterium. RNAcentral describes it as "partial 16S rRNA". It matches the Rfam family "Bacterial small subunit ribosomal RNA", at positions 355 to 511 of the family's 1533-position model. The record is from RNAcentral.